AAAUUGAAGAGUUUGAUCAUGGCUCAGAUUGAACGCUGGCGGCAGGCCUAACACAUGCAAGUCGAACGGUAGCACAGAGAGCUUGCUCUCGGGUGACGAGUGGCGGACGGGUGAGUAAUGUCUGGGAAACUGCCUGAUGGAGGGGGAUAACUACUGGAAACGGUGGCUAAUACCGCAUAACGUCGCAAGACCAAAGAGGGGGACCUUCGGGCCUCUUGCCAUCAGAUGUGCCCAGAUGGGAUUAGCUUGUUGGUGAGGUAACGGCUCACCAAGGCGACGAUCCCUAGCUGGUCUGAGAGGAUGACCAGCCACACUGGAACUGAGACACGGUC
This 332-nucleotide ribosomal RNA is filed under the name Salmonella enterica. RNAcentral's name for it is "bacterial SSU rRNA". It matches the Rfam family "Bacterial small subunit ribosomal RNA", at positions 1 to 331 of the family's 1533-position model. The record is from RNAcentral. Lineage: Bacteria; Pseudomonadati; Pseudomonadota; Gammaproteobacteria; Enterobacterales; Enterobacteriaceae.